UGGGGAAUUUUGGACAAUGGGCGAAAGCCUGAUCCAGCAAUGCCGCGUGUGUGAAGAAGGCCUUCGGGUUGUAAAGCACUUUUGUCCGGAAAGAAAUCCUUGGCUCUAAUACAGUCGGGGGAUGACGGUACCGGAAGAAUAAGCACCGGCUAACUACGUGCCAGCAGCCGCGGUAAUACGUAGGGUGCAAGCGUUAAUCGGAAUUACUGGGCGUAAAGCGUGCGCAGGCGGUUUGCUAAGACCGAUGUGAAAUCCCCGGGCUCAACCUGGGAACUGCAUUGGUGACUGGCAGGCUAGAGUAUGGCAGAGGGGGGUAGAAUUCCACGUGUAGCAGUGAAAUGCGUAGAGAUGUGGAGGAAUACCGAUGGCGAAGGCAGCCCCCUGGGCCAAAUACUGACGCUCAUGCACGAAAGCGUGGGGAGCAAAACAGGAUUAGAUACCCUGGUAGUCCACGCCCUAAACGAUGUCAACUAGUUGUUGGGGAUUCAUUUCCUUAGUAACGUAGCUAACGCGUGAAGUUGACCGCCUGGGGGAGUAC
RNAcentral lists this ribosomal RNA (538 nucleotides) under uncultured bacterium. Its description in RNAcentral is "partial 16S ribosomal RNA". It matches the Rfam family "Bacterial small subunit ribosomal RNA", at positions 355 to 883 of the family's 1533-position model. The record is from RNAcentral.